Molecule: ribosomal RNA, 301 nt
Filed under: uncultured bacterium
Lineage: Bacteria
Description: bacterial SSU rRNA
Rfam family: Bacterial small subunit ribosomal RNA
Source: RNAcentral
GUGGCAGCCGCCGCGGUAAUACGGAGGGUGAGAGCGUUAAUCGGAAUUACUGGGCGGAAAGGGCGCGUAGGCGGCUGAUCAAGUCAGGUGUGAAAGCCCACGGCUUAACCGUGUGAGGUGCAGCUGAAACUGGUCGGCUUGAGUAUCGGAGAGGAAAGUGGAAUUCCCGGUGUAGAGGUGAAAUUCGUAGAUAUCGGGAGGAAUACCGGUGGCGAAGGCGACUUUCUGGACGAAUACUGACGCUGAGGCGAGCGAGCGGGGGGAGCAAACAGGAUUAGAUACCCUGGUAGUCCACAGCUUU